Long non-coding RNA from Trichomycterus rosablanca, 1420 nucleotides. RefSeq lists it as uncharacterized. The transcript has 2 exons. The record is from RefSeq and is a predicted model, not a curated record. NCBI's taxonomy places the organism in Eukaryota, Metazoa, Chordata, Actinopteri, Siluriformes, Trichomycteridae.
AGGACGUGAAGACACGCCGCUCUGUCCGCAGGUCAGUGUACAGUCUGUACCCAACGCUGCUGGUUCUGAUGUUCAGACCGAACGUCCCGCGCCCCGGGUGUGAGUGGGCGGGGAGUGUGUCACGAUCGGUCGUGAGUGGGACCGGUCGCUCUGAACGGCGCCGCUGAUACAGAGAGGAGCUUCAUUCAUAACGGGUCUGAGUCAUGAGGAGGAGAGGGAGGAGGAACAGAGGGCGAGAGAUGAUCCUGCUACUGAGUCACGCUGCCUGGAUCCUGAUACUGCCUUUAUAUCACGUCUACUGGACUGUCAGAGGAAACCCACACGGACACGAGGAGAACAUGCAAACUCCACACAGAAAGGACCCGCACCGCUCCACCUGGGAAUCGAACCCAGGACCUUCUUGCUGUAAAGUGCCACCGUGCCGCCCGGUUAUUUCUUCAUUGUUUUACCCCUGAUUUAUCCUGGUCAGGGUCGCAGUGGGUCUGAUUCGUUGGGCGAAAGGCAGGGGGCACCCCGGACAGGUCGCCAGUCCAUCACAGGGCACACACAUUAAUUUUUGUAGCUCCAAUUGACCUGACUGCACGUCUUUGGACUUGUGGGAGGAAACCCAUGUUGACACAGGGAGAACAUGCAAACUUCCCCUCAUGCAUUUCCUUUGCCGCUUGUACCUCCUUGAUGAUCUCUGAAUACGGCACCACCGGUGCGGGCGCCUCUAACAGACCCCCCCCUCCCUCCUGAGGUACAACCAACUGUGCCUGUUUGGGCAGGUCGAUAGCACCGCCUGGGAUUCGAACUCGAGAUGCACAAUCUCUAACCAAUCAGAAUUUAAUCAGGGGUGUCCGAACUCAAAAGACAGCCAAUCAGCAUUCAGCUUUCCAAUCCCCACCCACAUCUGUAAACUCCAAAUCAGGAGCGAACGGUGCAGAGUCGCUCAUGUUUGCAUUUGUGUUGAUCUUGUGGAUGAUUCGGUAGUACAUUCUGCACACACACACACACACACACAGUGCUCCGUCUGCACCAGAGUUCAGGUCGCCUAGCAACCGCUCCCCCUGAUAUUAGAAUUUUCAUGCAUCACUAUGUGGGGCGUUGAUGUCACAGUUGCCACAGCAACCAUACGGCUGACUUCUGGUGUCACUCUCUCUACACAGACGCAUUUACGUCAUCCUACUCUCCCGAGAAGAGGGCGUGUCUAAAUACUUAGAUCCCUUAAAAUGCUCCUACUGAGGCGCCUCAAUUCUGAGUGAUGAUCUGACUGAAUGACGGGGGAGCGUCCGACGCCUCCUCGGCGCUGAGGGCAAUCCCAGCAUUCAGUGCGGCACGACUUCUCUCACAAACAACUACAAACGUGGCGGACGGAUGUGAAUGCGGAGCAACCAACGGAGUUCUUUUUAAAUGUAAAUAAAUUCUCAUAGAUGUUUAA